AGGUCUUGGAAGGCAGACCUGGGUUGUUGGGGAAAAAAAGGGUAAGGGAGGGGGGCAGCCAGAGAUUCAGCCAGCUCCCCUUUGGACCUUGGAGGAGUCCAGCUCUUGCCUAAGGCUCAGAAAGAAAAUAAGUGUUGGUGCUGCAUGUGAUGGUCUUGUGGAGAGGGGAGAGGGUGAGGGCAGCUCAGAUAACAUCUGCUCUGGUCUCAGAGGGACUCAGUGGAGCAAGUUGGGAUCUGAUGGUGCAUCACUGUUGUCAAUACUGGAUUACUGACCUUUGCACUCACAUUCUUGGGCGCCUUCUCAGAACCACUUCCCAGAAGCCUGGCGUUGGUCCCUGUGGCCUCUGGUGACCCAUGUCGGAAGGAAACAGAUCAUUUCGUCACUGGAAAGCAAAGGCGCCAAGAGAAUUGGUACCCUGCCAUUGUGGUAACUAGGUGAGGAAACUGAGACCCAGAGAGAGCAAAUGAAAUGCCCAAGUUCACAAAGUUCUACUACAUAUUAGCUUUGUGACUUUGGACAAGUUGCUUAACUUUUCUGUGCCUCAUUUACCUAAUUUAUAAAAUGGGGCUAAAAAAAGUACAUUGGUGUGUGUAUGCAUACAUCUGUCCACCAGAGGGCCUAGAUGCAAUAGCCCUUGUAGCAAUGGGCAAUACCUUGUGCCCAAGGUUUGUGUAUAUCAUUCUCCCCUGAAAGGAGCCGUGGCUCCAAGGAGAAAUGGCUGACUUCAAGGAUGGGGAAUGAAAGUAGAAGAUGAGCCUGGAACAUCUAGUGGUGUCAGAAGGCCAGAAACUGCUAAAAAAAAUCCCGAUAUGUCAAAAUGAUGCAGAAGCCAACUUGAAGAAGUUCUUAGUGGCCGGUUUUGGGACAAUAUGAACGACAUUAUAAAUAAAGAUAGUAAUGGAUUAUAAUCCACAAAUAUCCCUGAGAAUUUACUUAUAGAAAUAAAUAAUUGAAUACCUGAAUAAAUGAGAGAGAAGGAAGAGCUCUUUCUUUUUGUUUUUCCCCUUGGCUGCACCACACAGCUUGAGGGAUCCUAGUUCCCCAACCAGGGAUUGAGCCCUCGCCCUUGGCAGUGAAAGCACGGAGUUCUAACCACUGGACCACCAGGGAAUUCCCCGGAAGAGCUCUUUCUUAUAGUAGAAUCCUAAUUAAUACAUUUAGAAGGAAUGUUGGAAAUAGAAAAUCACCAUUUGGCUAAGACUAUAGUAAUACCUGUUGUAGGCGAGAAUCAUCAAUGGAUUUUAAAAAUUAAUAGGCAAAAGUAUGACGAGAAGAAACAGGCUAUUUGCAUAGUUUCGAAGUAUCUCUCCACAAGAUACUUAUUAACUACAAUGAGAAUAUAGUACCUUUAUGGACACCGCCUUAACUAGUGUUCAAACUUAACAUCACCCAUAAAUGAGUAUUGUUACCGUGGGCCUCUGAUGUGCCGAGAAGGCAAACGUCACUUCUGUGGUGUUCUUGCCAAAAAUGCGUAAUCUGAAUUUAGUCAUGAGGAAACAUCAGAUAAGCCCAAGUUGAGGGAUAUUCUAUAAAAUAACUGACAAUACUCUUCAAAAGUGUCAAAAUCAUGGAAGACAAGGAAGGCUGACAAAGUACUCUAGAUUGGAGGAGACCAGGAGAUCCUACAUUCUUCAGUGUAGGAUCCUGGAUUGGAUUCUGGAUCAGAAAAAGAAUACUAGUGGGAUGAAUUGGGAGAUUGGGAUUGACAUAUAUACACUAAUAUGUGUAAAAUAGAUAACUAAUAACCUGCUGUAUAAAAAAAAUAAAAUAAAAUUCAAAAAAAAGAAUACUAAUGGGAUGAUUAGCAAAAUCUAAAAAUUUGUACAUUAGUUAAUAGUACUGUAUCAUUGCUAAUUUUCUGGUUUUGAUAAUCAUAUUAUGGUUAUGUAUGAUGUUAUUGGAAAAAACUGCAUGAAGGAUAUAUUGGAACUCUGAUUAUUUUUACCAUAUUUUUGAAGUCUGAAGAAUGAAAAGUUAAAAAAAAAAGACAUUAGGGACUUCCCUGGUGGCACAGUGGUUAAGAAUCCACCUGCCAAUGCAGGGGACACGGGUUCAAUCCCUGGUCUGGGAAGAUCCCACAUGCCGUGGAGCAACUAAGCCCAUGUGCCACAACUACUGAGCCUGAGCUCUAGAGCCUGUGAGCCACAACUACGGAGCCUGCGUGCCACAACUACUGAAGCCCACGCGCCCUAGAGCCCGUGAUCUGCAACAAGAGAAGUCACCACAAUGAGAAGCCUGUGCACUGCAACGAAGAGUAGCCCCCACUCUCCACAACUAGAGAAAGCCCGUGCACAGCAAGAAAGACCCAACACAGCCAAAAGUAAGUAAAUAAAUUUAUUUUAAAAUAUCGUAUCAAAAACAAACAAACAAAACAAAAACCCUAGGGAUAAACUUAACCAAGGAGGUGAGGUGAAAGAUCUACAUGCUGAAAACUAUAAAACAUUGAUAAAGGACAUUGAAGAUGAUUCAAAGCAAUGGAAAAAUAUCCCAUGCUCUUCGAUUGGAAGAACUAAUAUUGUUAAAAUGGCCAUACUACCCAAAGAAAUCUAUAGAUUUAAUGUGAUCCCUAUCAAAACACCCAUGACAUUUUUCACAGAACUAGAACAAAUAAUCCUAAAAUUUAUAUGGAACCACAGACGACCUGAAUUGCCAAAGCUGUCCUGAGGAAGAAGAACAAAGCUGGAGGCAUAACCCUCCCAGACUUCAAACAAUACUACAAAGCUAUGGUAAUCAAAACAGUGUGGUAUUGGCACAGAAACAGAUACAUAGAUCAAUGGAACAGAAUAGAGAGCCCAGAAAUAAACCCACACACCUAUGGUCAAUUAAUCUACAACAAAGGAAGCAAGAAUAUACGAUUGAGAACAGUCUCUUCAACAAGUGGUGUUGGGAAGUCUGGACAGUUACAUGUAAAUCAGUGAAAUUAGACCACUCCCUGACACCAUAUACAAAAAUAAACUCAAAGUGGCUUAAAGACCUAAUAUAAGACAUGAUGCCAUAGAACUCCUAGAAGAGAACAUAAGCAAAACAUUCUCUUACAUAAAUUGUAGCAAUAUUUUCUUAGGUCAGUCUCCUAAGGCAAAAGAAAUAAAAGCAAAAAUAAACAAAUGGGACCUAAUCAAACUUAAAAGUUUUUGCAGAGCAAAGGAAACCAUAAACAAACAAAAAGGCAAUCUGUGGAAUGGGAGAAAAUAUUUGCAAACAAUGCGACUGCCAAGGGGUUAAUAUCCAAAAUAUACAAACAGCUCAUACAACUCAAUAUCCAAAAAACAAACAUUCCAAUAAAAAAAUGAGCAGAAGACCUAAAUAGACAUUGCUCCAAAGAAGACAUACAGAUGGCCAACAGGGACAUGAAAACAUGCACAACAUUGCUAAUUUUUAGAGAAAUGCAAACCAAAACCACAAUGAGGUAUCACCUCACACCAGUUAGAUUGGCCACCAUCAAAAAGUCUACAAGUAAUAAAUGCUGGAGAGGGUGUGGAGAAAAGGGAACUGCGCCACCUGGAAGCUCAGUGAGCUUUCCCCAACUCAUUGCCUUUUUGCCUUAGUAGCUACUUUACUCAUCUGAUUGACUGAACCCUUACUAAGUUCACAUUAUCAAUCGUUGACUCGUUACAACAGUUGUACAUGCUAAGUGGUAUUUUAUUCAUUUUAAGAAGAUAAAACUGAGGCUGAAAAAUGUUAAGCAUCUUGUCCAGGGUUUCAAAGUAAGUGAUGGAGCCAGGAUUUGGAUCGCGGUUCCCCUCAAUUCAAGUCUGAGUCUCAAGGUCCAGGUGAGUCUAAACGUGUCGCCAUGUUUGAGAAUUAUUGGUAGAGAGCAGUGGCCCCACUGGGCAGUGGUUCCCCCUCCAGGGGACAUUUGGCAAUGUCUGGAGAUAUUUUUGGCUGUACUAACUGGGCGGGGCAGGGUGGUAGGGGAGAGGCUGCUCUUGGCUUCUAGCAGGUGGAGGCCACGUGGAUGUUGUUAAACAUCCUGUAACCUGUUGUUAAACAGGUUACAAAGCACAGAACAGCACCCC
This is a long non-coding RNA of Orcinus orca (killer whale), 4019 nucleotides long. RefSeq lists it as uncharacterized. The transcript has 3 exons. The record is from RefSeq and is a predicted model, not a curated record. NCBI's taxonomy places the organism in Eukaryota, Metazoa, Chordata, Mammalia, Artiodactyla, Delphinidae.